GCCAAUUUUAUCAUUCAUCAACUGAGCUAGCAGAUUAUCAUCACUAUUUCUAGUCAUAUUUCUUUUUACUUUAUUCUGUAUGGAUCUCACAAAGUUUCAGUGGAAUCGGGCAGGUUACUUUCUUCACCUUCCAGAUUUCAGGGAAGUGGUUAAAUCUAAGUAUGUUAGCAACCUUAGCAGCUAUCUUAUCCAUGGGAUCGUGGGUUAACAGUUCUGAAUUGGAGUGCACUGUAGGGUCAGACAGAGGGUCCACGUGUCUGUCACUGUGUAUAGAGGCUAUCUUCCUCGACUUGUUGUCUCUUGUACAAAUUAUGGACUCCUCCAUAAUUUGUACAAAAGAACACACUGCCUUGAUAGAGUAUGCGAAG
This 368-nucleotide long non-coding RNA is filed under the name Androctonus crassicauda. The record is from RNAcentral. Lineage: Eukaryota; Metazoa; Arthropoda; Arachnida; Scorpiones; Buthidae.